CCGCCCAAGAUGAUUGGAGGUCAGAUGCAUGGUGAGAAGGUAGAUCUCUGGAGCCUUGGUGUUCUUUGCUAUGAAUUUUUAGUUGGGAAGCCUCCUUUUGAGGCAAACGUACACCAAGAGACCUACAAAAGAAUAUCACGGGUUCGAGUAUCAUGGGUUGAAUUCACAUUCCCUGACUGUAACAGAGGGACCCAGGACCUCAUUUUAAGACUGUUGAAGCAUAAUCCCAGCCAGAGGCCAAUGCUCAGAGAAGUACUUGAACACCCCUGGAUCACAGCAAAUUCAUCAAAACCAUUAAAUUCCCAAAACAAAGAAUCAACUAGCAAACAGUCU
RNAcentral lists this long non-coding RNA (333 nucleotides) under Homo sapiens (human). RNAcentral describes it as "non-protein coding lnc-TDRD1-1:1". The record is from RNAcentral. Lineage: Eukaryota; Metazoa; Chordata; Mammalia; Primates; Hominidae.